This is a long non-coding RNA of Equus quagga, 1358 nucleotides long. RefSeq lists it as uncharacterized. The record is from RefSeq and is a predicted model, not a curated record. NCBI's taxonomy places the organism in Eukaryota, Metazoa, Chordata, Mammalia, Perissodactyla, Equidae. The transcript is spliced from 3 exons.
GUCCCCAGCCUCCCAGCAAGCCCUUGCCUGCCCUAAGAGUUUGGGAGUGGGUAGGAGAGUGGCAGAGGGCCAUCAAGAGCAAUCAUCACCACCCUCACCCCCAGAAGGAAGGAGGCCAGACCAGUUUGGGAGGUCAGAUGGGACAAAGGCAUCUUUGGAGGGUACUUCCUGUUCUCCUUUGACCUCUGUGGAUUCCAAAAACAGGAAGUCUGCAGCCAUUGGGUAGAGAAGAGAGAGCCGGAAAGGAAAGCUCUGCCUUCAACUGCCGGCUCAUAUCUAUGAAUGGGAAUGGGCACGAAUGAAUGGGAAUGAACAGAUUGGGAUGGAAAUUCUCUGGAUUUGGAAUUAUUAUAAGAAUGUUGCGUGUGUGUGAUUGUUUUGAAGGAGCCUAAGAUUUUCAGCCUGCCACUCCCAGACCAGCAAGCUGUCAGAGCAGUUCUGCAAUAUUCUGGAAGAUGCUGAAAUCCAAUGUGAGACUUUCCCCAAACCAGAAUGACAGGCUUUCGCAUACAGGGAAGUUCCCCAGUCUGUCUCCAGUCUCCACCCUGCAAACAUGUCAGAGGACACCUGGACAAGUUCUGGCAGACUCCAACCCCUGGUAGCGUGUGUACUGAGGUGAGGGCAGGGGUGGCCAAGAUGAAGGAAUGCAUGCAGGAAACUGGAACGUCUGCCCAGGAAGCGAGACUCUCCCAGAAAGAAAGGGAUGGCUUGAGCCAGUGGGGCAGGGGUUAAAUGCAAGAGCAUGUGAGUCGGUUAAACCUGCGUUCAAACUGCGGCUUUUCCCCCACCACUUAUCCACUGUUGGGCCUUGGUCACAUUACCAAAUCUCUCUGGGUUUCUCCACCUGUAAAAUGGGAUAGUAAUGUAAUACCCAUUUCAAAAUGUUGCUGUAAGGAUUAAUACACCUAAAUGAACACUCAUAGGCAAAAAAUGAAACCAACCAAUACUUCACAUAUUAUCCAAAAAUUAACUCAAAAUGGAUCAUGGGCUUAAAUUAAAAUGUAAAACUACAAAACUUUUAGAAAAAAAAAUAGAAAAUCUUCUGGACCUAGGGUUAGGCCAAAAGUUCUUAGGCUUAACACCCAAAGCGCAAUCCACAAAAGGAAAAGUUGAUAAAUGGUGCUCACCAAAAAUUUAAAAUAUUCACUCUGUGAAAGAUCCCCUGAAGAGGAUGAAAAGUCAAGCCUCAAACAGAGAGAAAAUAUUUGCAAACUACAUAUUUGACAAAGCACUAAUUUUCUAGAAUAUAUAAAGAACUCUCCAAACUCAAUGGUAAAAAACCAAGCUAUCCAAUUAGAAUAGAUACGAACAGGGGCCGACCCAGUGGUGCAGCGGUUGAGUUUGCACAUUGCCCUUCU